RNAcentral lists this transfer RNA (73 nucleotides) under Chloroflexota bacterium. RNAcentral's name for it is "Chloroflexi bacterium (permafrost metagenome) tRNA-Ala". It matches the Rfam family "tRNA". From Rfam's summary of the family: Transfer RNA (tRNA) molecules are approximately 80 nucleotides in length. The record is from RNAcentral. RNAcentral also lists the same sequence under 3 other names. Lineage: Bacteria; Bacillati; Chloroflexota.
GGGGGUAUAGCUCAGUGGCUAGAGCGGUGGCUUUGCAAGCCAUAGGUCUGGGGUUCAAGUCCCCAUACCUCCA